AACAUCGCGCACCUGCGGGAACCUGCGGAAGGAUCAUUACCGAGUUUACAACUCCCAAACCCAUGUGAACAUACCUAUCGUUGCUUCGGCGGAUCGCCCCGGGCGCCUUGCGUGCCCCGGAUCCAGGCGGCCGCCGGGGGACCUUAACUCUUGUUUUUACUGAGAAUCUUCUGAGUCGUUUUUACAAAUAAAUAAAAACUUUCAACAAUGGAUCU
This 215-nucleotide unclassified non-coding RNA is filed under the name soil metagenome. RNAcentral describes it as "partial contains 5.8S ribosomal RNA, internal transcribed spacer 2, and large subunit ribosomal RNA". The record is from RNAcentral.